UGGGGAAUCUUGGACAAUGGGCGAAAGCCUGACCCAGCAACGCCGCGUGAAGGAUGAAGUAUUUCGGUAUGUAAACUUCGUAAGAAUAGGAAGAAUAAAUGACGGUACUAUUUGUAAGGUCCGGCUAACUACGUGCCAGCAGCCGCGGUAAUACGUAGGGACCAAGCGUUGUUCGGAUUUACUGGGCGUAAAGGGCGCGUAGGCGGCGUGGUAAGUCAUCUGUAGAAAUCUCCGAGCUUAACUCGGAACGGUCAGAUGAUACUGCUGUGCUAGAGUACAGAAGGGGCAAUCGGAAUUCUUGGUGUAGCGGUGAAAUGCGUAGAUAUCAAGAGGAACACCUGAGGUGAAGACGGGUUGCUGGGCUGAUACUGACGCUGAGGCGCGAAAGCUAGGGUAGCAAACGGGAUUAGAUACCCCUGUAGUCCCUGAGCGGGCUGGCAAGGCGCAU
Molecule: ribosomal RNA, 448 nt
Filed under: uncultured bacterium
Lineage: Bacteria
Description: bacterial SSU rRNA
Rfam family: Bacterial small subunit ribosomal RNA
Source: RNAcentral